RNAcentral lists this ribosomal RNA (484 nucleotides) under uncultured bacterium. Its description in RNAcentral is "partial 16S ribosomal RNA". It matches the Rfam family "Bacterial small subunit ribosomal RNA", at positions 30 to 507 of the family's 1533-position model. The record is from RNAcentral.
AUUGAACGCUGGCGGCAGGCCUAACACAUGCAAGUCGAGCGGAUGAAGGGAGCUUGCUCCUGGAUUCAGCGGCGGACGGGUGAGUAAUGCCUAGGAAUCUGCCUGGUAGUGGGGGAUAACGUCCGGAAACGGGCGCUAAUACCGCAUACGUCCUGAGGGAGAAAGUGGGGGAUCUUCGGACCUCACGCUAUCAGAUGAGCCUAGGUCGGAUUAGCUAGUUGGUGGGGUAAAGGCCUACCAAGGCGACGAUCCGUAACUGGUCUGAGAGGAUGAUCAGUCACACUGGAACUGAGACACGGUCCAGACUCCUACGGGAGGCAGCAGUGGGGAAUAUUGGACAAUGGGCGAAAGCCUGAUCCAGCCAUGCCGCGUGUGUGAAGAAGGUCUUCGGAUUGUAAAGCACUUUAAGUUGGGAGGAAGGGCAGUAAGUUAAUACCGUGCUGUUUUGACGUUACCAACAGAAUAAGCACCGACUAACUUCGUG